Molecule: small nucleolar RNA, 120 nt
Organism: Jaculus jaculus (lesser Egyptian jerboa)
Lineage: Eukaryota; Metazoa; Chordata; Mammalia; Rodentia; Dipodidae
Product: small nucleolar RNA SNORA8
Exons: 1
Source: RefSeq, a predicted model, not a curated record
UGCACUGCAAUUUAUUCCUGCUGAUAUGUUCAAAGGACAGUGCAAUAGAAAUUCAAUAUCUGGCAUUUCUGGUUUUCUUGGCUUUGCACAGUUAAACUUGGUAUUUCUUUUCUUUCCUUU